This 425-nucleotide ribosomal RNA is filed under the name uncultured bacterium. RNAcentral describes it as "partial 16S ribosomal RNA". It matches the Rfam family "Bacterial small subunit ribosomal RNA", at positions 354 to 796 of the family's 1533-position model. The record is from RNAcentral.
GUGGGGAAUCUUGCGCAAUGGGCGAAAGCCUGACGCAGCCAUGCCGCGUGAAUGAUGAAGGUCUUAGGAUUGUAAAAUUCUUUCACCGGGGACGAUAAUGACGGUACCCGGAGAAGAAGCUCCGGCUAACUUCGUGCCAGCAGCCGCGGUAAUACGAAGGGGGCUAGCGUUGCUCGGAAUUACUGGGCGUAAAGGGCGCGUAGGCGGACAGCUUAGUCAGAGGUGAAAGCCCAGGGCUCAACCUUGGAAUUGCCUUUGAUACUGGCUGUCUUGAGUUUGGGAGAGGUGAGUGGAACGCCGAGUGUAGAGGUGAAAUUCGUAGAUAUUCGGAAGAACACCAGUGGCGAAGGCGACUCACUGGCCCAAUACUGACGCUGAGGCGCGAAAGCGUGGGGAGCAAACAGGAUUAGAUACCCUUGUAGUCC